This 891-nucleotide ribosomal RNA is filed under the name uncultured bacterium. Its description in RNAcentral is "bacterial SSU rRNA". It matches the Rfam family "Bacterial small subunit ribosomal RNA", at positions 60 to 945 of the family's 1533-position model. The record is from RNAcentral.
AGUCGAGCGGAGAUGAGGUGCUUGCACCUUAUCUUAGCGGCGGACGGGUGAGUAAUGCUUAGGAAUCUGCCUAUUAGUGGGGGACAACAUUCCGAAAGGGAUGCUAAUACCGCAUACGUCCUACGGGAGAAAGCAGGGGAUCUUCGGACCUUGCGCUAAUAGAUGAGCCUAAGUCGGAUUAGCUAGUUGGUGGGGUAAAGGCCUACCAAGGCGACGAUCUGUAGCGGGUCUGAGAGGAUGAUCCGCCACACUGGGACUGAGACACGGCCCAGACUCCUACGGGAGGCAGCAGUGGGGAAUAUUGGACAAUGGGGGGAACCCUGAUCCAGCCAUGCCGCGUGUGUGAAGAAGGCCUUAUGGUUGUAAAGCACUUUAAGCGAGGAGGAGGCUACUGAGACUAAUACUCUUGGAUAGUGGACGUUACUCGCAGAAUAAGCACCGGCUAACUCUGUGCCAGCAGCCGCGGUAAUACAGAGGGUGCGAGCGUUAAUCGGAUUUACUGGGCGUAAAGCGUGCGUAGGCGGCUUUUUAAGUCGGAUGUGAAAUCCCCGAGCUUAACUUGGGAAUUGCAUUCGAUACUGGGAAGCUAGAGUAUGGGAGAGGAUGGUAGAAUUCCAGGUGUAGCGGUGAAAUGCGUAGAGAUCUGGAGGAAUACCGAUGGCGAAGGCAGCCAUCUGGCCUAAUACUGACGCUGAGGUACGAAAGCAUGGGGAGCAAACAGGAUUAGAUACCCUGGUAGUCCAUGCCGUAAACGAUGUCUACUAGCCGUUGGGGCCUUUGAGGCUUUAGUGGCGCAGCUAACGCGAUAAGUAGACCGCCUGGGGAGUACGGUCGCAAGACUAAAACUCAAAUGAAUUGACGGGGGCCCGCACAAGCGGUGGAGCAUGUGGU